ACGCUGGCGGGAUGCUUUACACAUGCAAGUCGAACGGCAGCAUAGAGAGCUUGCUCUCUGAUGGCGAGUGGCGAACGGGUGAGUAAUAUAUCGGAACGUGCCCAGUAAUGGGGAAUAACUAGCCGAAAGGUUAGCUAAUACCGCAUACGACCUACGGGUGAAAGCAGGGGAUCUUAGGACCUUGCGUUAUUGGAGCGGCCGAUAUCUGAUUAGCUUGUUGGUGGGGUAAAAGCCUACCAAGGCAACGAUCAGUAGCUGGUCUGAGAGGACGAUCAGCCACACUGGAACUGAGACACGGUCCAGACUCCUACGGGAGGCAGCAGUGGGGAAUUUUGGACAAUGGGGGAAACCCUGAUCCAGCCAUCCCGCGUGAGUGAAGAAGGCCUUCGGGUUGUAAAGCUCUUUCGAAAGUGAAGAAAACUUAUUUCGUAAUAUGUUAUAAGUAUGACGGUAACUUUAGAAGAAGCACCGGCUAACUACGUGCCAGCAGCCGCGGUAAUACGUAGGGUGCGAGCGUUAAUCGGAAUUACUGGGCGUAAAGCGUGCGCAGGCGGUUUUGUAAGUCAGAUGUGAAAUCCCCGAGCUUAACUUGGGAACUGCGUUUGAAACUACAAGACUAGAGUGUGUCAGAGGGGGGUAGAAUUCCACGUGUAGCAGUGAAAUGCGUAGAGAUGUGGAGGAAUACCAAUGGCGAAGGCAGCCCCCUGGGAUAACACUGACGCUCAUGCACGAAAGCGUGGGGAGCGAACAGGAUUAGAUACCCUGGUAGUCCACGCCCUAAACGAUGUCAACUAGUUGUUGGUGGAGUAAGAUCCAUGAGUAACGUAGCUAACGCGUGAAGUUGACCGCCUGGGGAGUACGGUCGCAAGAUUAAAACUCAAAGGAAUUGACGG
RNAcentral lists this ribosomal RNA (893 nucleotides) under uncultured beta proteobacterium. Its description in RNAcentral is "bacterial SSU rRNA". It matches the Rfam family "Bacterial small subunit ribosomal RNA", at positions 33 to 916 of the family's 1533-position model. Lineage: Bacteria; Pseudomonadati; Pseudomonadota; Betaproteobacteria. The record is from RNAcentral.